CUGGAUUAAAAUGUCCUUGUGAUUACUGUGUAGAAAGAGGGAGGUUUCAUGACCCUUUAACAGAGAGCCUGACAGAGUGAAAGUGAAAGUGAAAGUGAAUUUAACAGCCUUCCUGUCUCUCUAAAUGGAUUCUCAAGAGAGCGUUGAUCCUCGACUGACCCUUUAAGCAUGGCGUAAUAGAAUUCCUCAAUGUAUAUAAGAUAUAUAAAGAAGACGAAAGUACUCUCUUUGUGUAUUAACAUGAGUUGUAACGGCCACCUAAUGUUAAAUACUGAAUGUUCAUGACCCGUUAAGAUGACGUCUUCUAUGGUGUACAUUAUUGCGUGAACCAUUCUAUAAAGACUCGUGGGACUACCGGUUCAUUUGCCUCGGGUUUUCCUUCUUGUCUUCUGUUCUUAUCUUUCAUCCGAGCAGACUUCGAAACCCUCUGACAGAUGUUACAGUGUGUAAAAAUGUCUGCUGCAUGUGACAUUUCUUACAUCGAGGUCUUUUACAAUUAUUAAUGCCAGGACUAAAAUGGAAGCGCAGUAUAGAUUUGAUAUGCACACGUUCAUGAGUUAGAAAACAUAUUCCACUUAAUUGUCCAUCAUACACCAACAAAAGGAAUUAUUUCUGCACAAAAGGCGGUAGAGAUAUAAAAGUAUGAAAAUUUCAUAUCAUGAUUAUCACGAGCAAUACUAUCACGGUUAUCAGUAUUAUCACGGUGUUGUUAAAUUGUGCUGAAAAAUGGACAAAAAGUACUGAUACACACACUGAAAUCAUUUAAACAGGUUUAUAUUUGAUUAUAAAGUGAUGGACGGUUGUCACUGGGCUUGCUGUGAUCAUUUAGUUCAGUUAGAGAACAUGGCGGAAGGUAGUGACGGGGCUUGGGGGAAUAUCCGACCUUCCACGAGGACCAAAUCCGAAGUGUGGUCAUAUUUUGGAUUUUAUAUGAAUGCUGAGGGAAACUUAAUAGAAGAUGGUAAUCCUGUCUACAGAGCUUGCCAGAAGAAAGUUUCUCUGAUUAUAAAUAUCUAAAUAUAUAUUUCCAUCCAUCCAUCCAUCCAUCUUCUACCGCUUACUCCUUCUUCAGGGUCACGGGGAACCUGGAGCCUAUCCCAGGGAACAUCGGGCACAAGGCGGGGUACACCCUGGACAGGGUGCCAAUCCAUCGCAGGGCACAAUCACACACACUCACACACCCAUUAAAUGUUUAUUUAUUUAUUUAUUUAUUUAUUUAUUUAUUUAUUUAUUUAUGUGAUGCUAAUACUAUGUCUGUUCCAGUGUAUUGAAGUCUGCAUUCAUGGUAAACGGUUUUGAAAGCUUUUAACCCAGGUAACAAUCACAAGCAUGACUACAACACAAAACACAACAAUACCCACUCCAAAACCCGCACCGAUUCCCACACCAAAACCCACACCAAUACCCACACCAAUCGCCAGGAAAAUGCCCAGAACAAGCAAUAUCCUGAUACAUCUGUGACGCACCUGCAAAAAAAAAAAAAAAAAAAGAUUAAAAAUAAGACCAAAUAUGUCUCAGAUAAAUUAUUCUCUGAGGAAAUAUUUCCUUUAUAUAAAACACACUGCACAUGCAAAAUACAGUGAAAUGAUCAUUUUAAACCAGAGUAGUUUCUGACCAGAAGGUGGCGGUAGAGCCUGUGUGUUUUCUGUUCAGCAUAUUGCAGUUCACUAAACUGAAAUAUGAGCAGUUGCCGAGCCAGCAAGGUCAUUUAAUACAGGGUUCAGGUGUUCAGGUGUAUUGAGAGAUGGACUGGGAGUCCUUGCAUGGUGAGUUUCAGUUUGCUAACUAAACAGCACACUAGCUCAUUAGCUAGACAACAUAGCUGUACAUGGUUUGGGGUUUCUCCGUAACAUGUCGAGCUUAUUUAGUAUUUUAUUCACCACUGUAUGAU
Molecule: long non-coding RNA, 1891 nt
Organism: Ictalurus punctatus (channel catfish)
Lineage: Eukaryota; Metazoa; Chordata; Actinopteri; Siluriformes; Ictaluridae
Source: Ensembl